CACCUCCGACCGAGUUGUGACGUUUGGAAGGUAAAAUUGCUAGUGGAGAAAUUCUAUAUCCUUAUUCGCACGACUCGCCUGCUAAGGAAUAUUUGUCAUAGUAACGAGGAUUACGACUGGACGUACGAGGCAUUUCCCUACCAGUAGCACUCUAUCACCCACUUGUGUGACAUCUUGUAAUAGUCUUUCCUUUUUGUAAAACUGGUUUUAGUCUGUGUCUGGUUCACUCUAGACAUUUUCUUGAAUGUUGUUAAUUAAUUCUAAACUCUGAUGUUAUUCAUGAAUAUUUUCUUCUAAUCAUUGCUCUUGUAAUCAAUUAAUGGCUUUCGUCACCUUGGGUG
Non-coding RNA from Malus domestica (apple), 341 nucleotides. NCBI's taxonomy places the organism in Eukaryota, Viridiplantae, Streptophyta, Magnoliopsida, Rosales, Rosaceae. The record is from RefSeq and is a predicted model, not a curated record.